Molecule: long non-coding RNA, 570 nt
Organism: Jatropha curcas
Lineage: Eukaryota; Viridiplantae; Streptophyta; Magnoliopsida; Malpighiales; Euphorbiaceae
Source: RefSeq, a predicted model, not a curated record
GUGUUGCCCAAAUAACAAACCCUUUGCCUCUAUUGAACUUUUCUCUCUAACUCUUUGUAGCUUCUCUUCUAAAUUCUUCUUCUCACCAUCCCAUGUCAGAAAGGAACGGUGUCAAUGUAACAUACAUAAGAUAUUGUAGAUGCAGGCAAGAGGCACUAUUGAAGACUGCAUGGAUUAAAAAAAUCCAAGAAGAAGGUUCCUUGGAUGCAGUAAUUAUGGGACAUCCAAUUGCUACAGUUUUAUGAAAUGGUUGGAUCCAUUUGUAAACCCACACUCAAAAGUUGUGAUUGUUGGAUUAUUGAGAAAGCUCGAUAGAAUGGAGAAAAAGAAGGAAGAGGCUGAAGAGAGAAACAUGAAGAUGAAAUUCUUAUGUUUGAUGCUUGCUGCCUGUGUUUUUAUUCUGUUAAUAUUUUGUAGCUUUGUUGUGGGUAGAAUAUACAAGUAGGGAGGCCUACAAUUGUGUUAUAGGGUAUAUGUUAGAAAGAUUUAAUCCAUAACUGCAUUUUAUGCACUUGAUGGUUGUGUAUGUUUAUUAAAUGUAAUGAAAUUAAAACUUUUUUUUCUGGUAAA